Molecule: long non-coding RNA, 6965 nt
Filed under: Phoenix dactylifera (date palm)
Lineage: Eukaryota; Viridiplantae; Streptophyta; Magnoliopsida; Arecales; Arecaceae
Description: long non-coding RNA (PDAC_LNC001265)
Source: RNAcentral
UUUAGGAGGAAUUAGGCAACAAGGCAGCGGGCAAAGUUAAUGUAAAAGUCAAGAUGUAAUUCUAGGAAGAUGUUAGUCUUAGCGGUGAAUUUCGUACUAGUCAAUAUUUUAGAAAAAAAUUGGCCUCUUUUAACUAGAAGACGAAUCCAAACUGGAUCUAGAGACUGAAACCUUACUAGUAUAAAUAAGAGAUGUCGUAAUCAAUUUUUUUAUUCAAUUAAUGAAUGUAAAAAGCAAUUAAAACUCUAAUUUUGAAAUUCCUAUUAUUUUCUAUUUUUUUUCUUCGAGAAGUUCAGUUUCUCAACUUUGUUUUUUGCCCAUAGAGAGAAGACUGUGGGUACUCUAGGGCGUGCAGUGCUGAUAAUUUGGCUUUUUGUGGUUUUAAUUAUUCAGUCUAGCUACACAGCUAGUCUGACAUCAAUUCUCACUGUGAAACAACUCUCAUCUCCACUCAAAGGAAUUGACAGCUUAAUACGUAGCGAGGAACCUAUCGGGAUUCAAGUAGGUUCAUUCACUGAAAAUUAUCUGGUUGAGGAGCUUGGCAUUUCUAGAUCCAGGCUAAAAGUUCUUGGUACUCCAGAACAGUAUGCUAGAGCCCUUGAACUUGGUCCUAGCAAUGGUGGUGUUGCUGCUGUGAUAGAUGAGCGACCAUAUGUUGAGGCAUUUCUAUCCACCCAGUGCAGAUUUGCAAUAGUAGGCUCAGAAUUUACCAGAAGUGGCUGGGGAUUUCUGAGUUAAGUUAAUUGAACGAAUUUCCUUCUCUCACCAAUUGGAUCAUCUAGAUUAUGGCAAUGAGUAUAAUUAAGUCAGGUUGGAAGAGCUCUCUUAUAGUUGCACAAGUCCUGGUAUUGGAAUAAUAGUGCUAUAUCUAUAAAUAAACAACAUAUGCUUAUGUACGAUAUGCAUGUUAUAUGUUAAGGGUUAUAAUGUAUCAUAAUCAUGGGUAAUGUGCUAUGAUUUCUAAUUGAUGAUUUUUAGAUUUAAAUCUCAUCAGCACUUGCUCCUAAAAGUACAUUGUGCCAUAUGUGAGUUACAUUGAAGAGGCUUUGUACCAUCAUAUCUACUAAGCCAUUUAUGGCAUUAUCACAUCAUGCCAAUGUUCUCUUCAAAUUAACACAAACAUGUGAAAGCCCUAACUUUGUAAAAAAGUAAUCACGUUGUAUAUUUCUGGUAUUUUAAUGCAAUUGGAUUGUUCUUCUUCUGACUCAUGGGUAAUUCUGAUGUCUGCUUCAUAUAUUUUAAGCUCCCUGUCUCUGUGAAUUGGCAUUUUGUGGAAAAGGCACUCAACACUAGUACAUUGCUCUUAAGAUGAAAUAAAGUUCUCAAAAUGCACAAUACCAUUAAGAUCGCAGACAUUGACCUGUCAUUUAUAUGCAUGAGUACCUUUGGAGCUUAGGUAGUAGCAUGUCAGUAAAAUAGGAGUCAAACUUGCUUCAUUUAUGAUGUUGAGGCCUAGAUUGAAUGAAAAUGGGUUGAACACAGUUAAACAAACAAAGGUUUUGCCCAUCUUGAUGUAUAUUGAUGACCUCUUCCUUGUUAGCUUAAGCUUUUGGAUACUAGUGGUUACUUAAGAUCACAUCAUGGUAACAGAGUUGAAGAUCAUGGAUUCAAAUCCCCUUGAGGCAAUUUUUCUUUAGUUCAAUCGUUUGUUAUCUUGGGUCUUUUCUUCACUUGACAUUAAUUAACAUGGCAUUAGAGCAUAUGUUUGUUUGAGAACAUGAGUUUGAAUCUCCUCCAUGCUUGUUAUUUUAUUUAAUUAACCUAGCUAUAUUGCCCCAUUCUAGUCUCCACAUGUGUAAUUUGUGCCACACAUUGGGGGAGGGGUGUUAAGCUUGAUAUACGUUGUUGACCUAUUCCUUAUUAGCUUAAGUUUUUUGCAAUCUAUUGGUUAGUUAACAGAUUUAUAAGACAACUCUAAAAUUGUUUAUUCCUAUGUAAAUUGGUAAAAGCAUUAAAAUUGUGAAAAUUAUGUGUAGAUAGGUGGGAAUCUACAAUUGUCAAAAGACCAUGAGGGACCAUCAAUUCAGCAAAACCAGUUUUACAAUAUCACGCAUCCAUGUGACCCUGAGACUUGGCAUAUGUUAAGUUCAAGCUGAAUGAACAAGCAAACACAGUGCAUAUAGCGUGUGAUUGGUGACUAUAUUGUCUCUGUCACUCCCUAAACCCAACAGUCGGGUCCGGGCAUGCGACACAGCUGCACACUCCCUAGGACAAAGCCCUAAAGAAUAUGCUAGGCCUGAAAAUUUAAUACAACCUCAAUAUUCGUAAUCAACAAUGAUCUCAAUUUAUACCAAACAAUAAAGUUGAUCUAAUUACAAAAUUUGAGCAUCCAACUAGUAUCAGUGAUGAUCUAUCUACUCAUCCUUUCAUCCGUGAUCCCAACUAUAGCCAAGUACCAAUAGACCUGCAACUCUGAAAGAAAAAAAAAAGGUGAUGUGAGUUUUACAGCCCAGUAACAAUUUUCACACAUCCAUGCCAACACAAUAAUAUAAGUUUGAAAAUAGCAAGAAAUCGUCACACACAUCAUGAAAUCACAAACCGAUUAUCUAUAAUACUUGAAUAAAUAGUAUACAUAUGUACAUCAAAUAUCAAUAGGAAUCUAGCCACUCAAGAGUACUAUAUCAUAUGAUAUCUCAAUUCCUCAAUAGUGUUUUCAAUGUUUUUCAUUCCAUUUCUUUUUAACUUGAUCUGGAUCAAUUAUCUUUUCGACUUUGGGCUAAAUUUCGGUCACGUUUCUUGCUCAUGACGGGGCAACCAAAAGUAUCACAUUUCCGUCCUGUGACUGGGCCUACUAUGGUAUCACAUUUCCAGCCUGUGACAGGGCUUGCUAUAGUAUCACAUUUGUAGCUUGUGACAGGGUAACCGAUGAUAACGAGAUAAGCCCAAAAUUCUUAUUCAUUCAAUCAAGUUCAUAUCCACGCAUCAAUUACUUUUUAUUUUUGGCUUUAGACUAACCAUGAUCACGUUUCUCGCUUGUAAUGGAACGAUCAAGAUAACACGGGUAGUCUAGAGCACCACAUCUAUUAGUCCGAUUAUGCAAGUGUAAGUUAUGCUCACAUAUGCAUCCAUCAUACUAUCAAUCACAAGCAUACAUGAUCAAAAUACGAUUUAAUAUGGAAACCAUUAUAAAACUAUUCUUGCUUCCUACUUACGUAGAUCAUUAGUAUAUCAUACAUAUAUAGGUACAAAAAUAUUUAUAUCAUACAGGUCAGUGUACAAGGAUUCUUACCUUUUGCUAACAAUCCAGACCGACUAAUUAUCUACCUACACUGUGAUCUAUAAACCAGGGUGCGCAGAAUUCUGCUCAACGUCCUCUUACCUAGAAAAUUAUUCUCCUACAGAACCAAAUCAAUAUCAAAAUUUAUUCGAGGUAUCCUACAACCCAGAAUCCUCUACUGGUCUACUAAAUGGUCCACCAUCACGUAGUAAUUUGGGCUACCCUCUGAGUCUCUUUAACAAAAAUUUUCUCGGAUGAAGCUAGAGAGAGAAAAUACUAAAAGAAAGAAACAGAAAGAGAAAAACUAGAGUAUAAGAAUUUUAUCAAGAAACAUAUAUCAAAUUAAAAAAAUUUGAUCAACUAGUAUCCGACGAUCCGGGUCGGUCCGCUCUAGCCAAUCAAAAAGAAAGAAGAGAGAGAAGACUCUCUUCUUCCUUCUCAAACAGGGGAAGCCGAUCUUUCCCUCUCUUCUUAGAUUAGAGCGUGGCAGGCCACCAAGUCGGCCCAGCCUUGGCGACGAUGGCCACGGGCGGCCCGUCAGCCACGACACCGUUGGCGACGGUAGUUGCCCGAUGCGAAGAAGGGAAGAAGAAAAUCAUCAAAGACCCAAUCAAACUCGUCCUGAAACUUGGCUAUCUCCCUAACCGGUGGCCACACGUUCACAUGGGUUCCUAGGGGUGGCAAGGCUCAGCCAAAUCUAGCAGCCGACAAUGAUGAACACGGGAGGAAGAGACCCCAAAACAGGGCACCCAUGUUUUAGAUUAAAUCCCGACGACUUGCCAGCUUAAGCAAAAGGAAAACACGGCUAGAUGACCGGAAGAAGAAGAGAGGAGUGGCGUGGAUCCUGCCUUAGUUCGGCAAAGAUCCAACGACUCUUCCCGGCGAUAAUCCAAGGAAAAAAAACUUGACAUUAGAAGUCAAAAUCGGCGGCUAGAUUUCGGUCUUCAUUGGUGAAGCUAAGAGGAGGAAGGAGGAUUAAAUAGGAAAAUCUCAGAGUUCUAGACGAACUCAAAUUGCUCUCGGGGAGUCUCUAACUCCGCCGGGAUUGGAGGUGGAAGACUCCCGACCGUGGUCUUCUUUCCUGAUGUCCUCACGUGCUGAGCAUUGGUCGGGUUCGAGCCUGGCCUAUUCGGGCCAGCCCACAGGCUGGGCUAGUCGGGGUCGGGCUAGGCCUGGCCACUCUAGGUCGGCCCACGAGCCCUAAAAAAUCGGGUUAUUACAGUCUCAAGUACCAAAAAAAAUACAUUAAACCUAGCAGUGGUCUUACAUAAUCUUGGAUUGCAUGGAUGUUGCUCUUGAAUAUUGCUUCUUAACUUGAUUUUGUUUUUUAUUUUAUUUUUUCCCUUUUAGGUAAUCCAAACUUCCUUGAAUUAAAUUCAGCCUUUCCAGGAUUAUUUUUUUAUUAUUUUAAACAUGUAAUUAGUUUUGGACCAAAAACCCUGAAAUUGCCAAAAGUAAUGGUAUAACUUAUUUUGACCACAUAUUGAGAUCAGAACAGACUUUUAACCUUGUCUUUUAUGAGCUAGCUAGUUGGUAUUUGAGGUUUAAUUUCUUUCUCAUUUCCUACUAGAUUUCGCCUGCCUGACUUGUAAGUCCCUACUACUUUAAGGGGCUAUAUUUGUUUUGUUCAGAAUAAAAAAAUAUCUUAGAAAAUCUAUCAUAAACCACACACUUCCACCUUAUCCUUUUUAUGCAUCUAUUGUAUGCCUCUUCCUAUGAUACAUAAUAGUCAAUUAAAUAAACAAGUAAUAUAGGCAUGGACUGCACAUGGAUCUUUGCUUGGAUUCUAGCUAAGUUGGAACAAAGGUUAGGGUUCUUUAGAAAUGUUAGGGUCACACCUUACCCAAGUUAAGCCUAGCCUCAAGCAAAUGAAUUGGACUGUGCUUGAUGUAAUAGGAGAGGGGUGGAGGGUCGGUUGGGUCUAAAACCAUUGAAGUUGACACAUGGAAGACCAAAGUGGUGGUUAACAGGUAGUAGCAGCUAACAAGCAAGAAUAGAAUAGGCAUGAGGAACACUUAUAUGAUAUGAGUGUUCAGAGGGAAGAGGAGUAACAUGUCAAGAUGAACAGAAGGACAAGAGAGAAGUACAGUAAAAUGUAUACAACCUUUUAUCAUAUAUGCUAAUAAAUCUUUUAUAUUAAAUAAUUGUAAUUUAUAUAAAGCAUUGUGCUAGGUUUGUGUUGUGCUAGCUUGGUCUACAUUGUGUCCUAAACUAUUUUGGUCCUUUGAACUUGAGCUUGAUCAACCCAAAUUUUGAACUAGGGUGACUCAUAUCUUAGCUAAUAAUGGGAAGGCCAACCUGAAGGCUUUGGUAUGACUUGGGUCUGUCCCCAACCAUAGUUUCACAUAAAGAAAGCUUCUUUCAGAUGGGUUGUUGAGAUUAACUAAAACCAAGGAUUUAAGUGCUACUAGCACGUAGCAUCCUAGCUAGUGCUAGUAUAGGGCAUACUGUGCUAACUAAGAUCCGCAAUCUCGAUACCGGAUACCAUUUCGGUACCUUAUUGGUUUGAUAUAGUACUGUAGGUAAGGCAUGGUAUGCACUCCGUACUGAAAUAACUCACUAAUUAUUUUUCUCACUUUUUAUCUCGGUAUGCCUUGAUAUGGAUCGGUACACCUCAAUACAGGUUGGUACGCCGAGGUAUGGGUCAAUACACCUUGGCACAAGGUGGUGUGUCUCAGUAUAGGAUGGUACGAGACUUGUACCAGCCUGAACUUGAGUUUUGUACUGGUUUCCACCUAGUACAAUACAGUACACUCCGUAUCAGGCAGUACGGGCUAGUAUGACAGAUCAGGGUGCCAACACAUGUUGUGUUUUGCUAGAACCUCAUGCUUUGCACUAGGUCAAUAUUGAGUAGCACUAACCAUGUGAUGUGUUCUGGUAUUGGCCUAGCAAGGUGUGUGCUUCCCUGCAUAAACUUGUACGAUCCAGCAAUUGAAACACUGAAUAGUUUCUUUUGAAUGAAACACUAUAUUUUUUCUUAUUUUCAGGGAAAAACAUUGUAUAAAUUGGAAUCUUUUUUGAAAUGAUGUCAUUGUGCUGAUAGAUUUACAGCCAUUAAUUUUCAUUGUCAUGGUCUAAAAAAAAAUGCUUAUUAUGUCCACAUUGCUUAAUUGUUAGCAUGAUUCAUAUAUGGUUCCUUAUUGUGCCAAGAAUAGAAACAAAAUUGUAUGUAAGAAGCACGACCUUGUAAGGGUGUAUCUUUUCUAUGCUAGAUAUUGUUAUUAGCAUUUUUUUCCCUGCUUAUCUAUUCUUUCUGCAUCUAUUCUUAUUAAAAUAUAUAUCAAUAUGUAUUGAUCAAACCACACAAUCUUCCUAUUCCAAAAUUAUGUAGAAUCUAAUUCUGUAUGAUGCUGUCUCUUGGCAGGUUCAGUUUCUCAACUUUGUUUUUUGCCCAUAGUAAGUAAACUUAAUCUUUUUUAUAAUCCUUUCUUAAUCAAAUUAAAGUUCUUUAGACUGACAUAUUUCUCUUUCUUUUGAUUUCUCAGGAGAGAAGACUGUGGGUACUCUAGGGCGUGCAGUGCUGAUAAUUUGGCUUUUUGUGGUUUUAAUUAUUCAGUCUAGCUACACAGCUAGUCUGACUUCAAUUCUCACUGUGAAACAACUCUCAUCUCCACUCAAAGGAAUUGACAGCUUAAUACGUAGCGAGGAACCUAUCGGGAUUCAAGUAGGUUCAUUCACUGAAAAUUAUCUGGUUGAGGAGCUUGGCAUUUCUAGAUCCAGGCUAAAAGUUCUUGGUACUCCAGAACAG